Molecule: ribosomal RNA, 496 nt
Filed under: uncultured bacterium
Lineage: Bacteria
Description: partial 16S ribosomal RNA
Rfam family: Bacterial small subunit ribosomal RNA
Source: RNAcentral
AUGAACGCUGGCGGCGUGCCUAAUACAUGCAAGUCGAGCGAACAGACGAGGAGCUUGCUCCUCUGACGUUAGCGGCGGACGGGUGAGUAACACGUGGAUAACCUACCUAUAAGACUGGGAUAACUUCGGGAAACCGGAGCUAAUACCGGAUAAUAUAUUGAACCGCAUGGUUCAAUAGUGAAAGACGGUUUUGCUGUCACUUAUAGAUGGAUCCGCGCCGCAUUAGCUAGUUGGUAAGGUAACGGCUUACCAAGGCGACGAUGCGUAGCCGACCUGAGAGGGUGAUCGGCCACACUGGAACUGAGACACGGUCCAGACUCCUACGGGAGGCAGCAGUAGGGAAUCUUCCGCAAUGGGCGAAAGCCUGACGGAGCAACGCCGCGUGAGUGGUGAAGGUCUUCGGAUCGUAAAACUCUGUUAUUAGGGAAGAACAAAUGUGUAAGUAACUAUGCACGUCUUGACGGUACCUAAUCAGAAAGCCACGGCUAACUACGUG